GGGGAUGUAGCUCAGUGGUAGAGCGUCCGCUUUGCAUGCGGAAAGCCCGGGGUUCGAUCCCCCGCAUCUCCA
This is a non-coding RNA of Nematostella vectensis (starlet sea anemone), 72 nucleotides long. The record is from Rfam. NCBI's taxonomy places the organism in Eukaryota, Metazoa, Cnidaria, Anthozoa, Actiniaria, Edwardsiidae.